GCCCAGUUAGUUUAAUUGGUUAGAACGCCACACCUAUUGUACCGUGGAAAUGCGGGUUCAAUUCCUGCACUGGGC
This 75-nucleotide transfer RNA is filed under the name Rhizophagus irregularis DAOM 181602=DAOM 197198. Its description in RNAcentral is "tRNA-Asn". It matches the Rfam family "tRNA". Rfam says of the family: Transfer RNA (tRNA) molecules are approximately 80 nucleotides in length. Their secondary structure includes four short double-helical elements and three loops (D, anti-codon, and T loops). Lineage: Eukaryota; Fungi; Glomeromycota; Glomeromycetes; Glomerales; Glomeraceae. The record is from RNAcentral.